This 226-nucleotide ribosomal RNA is filed under the name uncultured bacterium. RNAcentral describes it as "partial 16S ribosomal RNA". It matches the Rfam family "Bacterial small subunit ribosomal RNA", at positions 109 to 334 of the family's 1533-position model. The record is from RNAcentral.
AGUAACGCGUAAAGAACUUGCCUCACAGUUAGGGACAACAUUUGGAAACGAAUGCUAAUACCUGAUAUUAUGAUUUUAGGGCAUCCUAGAAUUAUGAAAGCUAUAUGCGCUGUGAGAGAGCUUUGCGUCCCAUUAGCUAGUUGGAGAGGUAACGGCUCACCAAGGCGAUGAUGGGUAGCCGGCCUGAGAGGGUGAACGGCCACAAGGGGACUGAGACACGGCCCUU